UGGGGAAUUUUGGACAAUGGGCGCAAGCCUGAUCCAGCCAUGCCGCGUGAGUGAAGAAGGCCUUCGGGUUGUAAAGCUCUUUCGGCGGGGACGAAACGGUUCGUGACAACACCACGGACUAAUGACGGUACCCGCAUAAGAAGCACCGGCUAACUACGUGCCAGCAGCCGCGGUAAUACGUAGGGUGCAGGCGUUAAUCGGAAUUACUGGGCGUAAAGCGUGCGCAGGCGGUUUGUUAAGACAGGUGUGAAAUCCCCGGGCUUAACCUGGGAAUUGCGCUUGUAACUGGCAGGCUAGAGUGUGGCAGAGGGGGGUGGAAUUCCACGUGUAGCAGUGAAAUGCGUAGAUAUGUGGAGGAACACCGAUGGCGAAGGCAGCCCCCUGGGUUAACACUGACGCUCAUGCACGAAAGCGUGGGGAGCAAACAGGAUUAGAUACCCCUGUAGUCCCUGAGCGGGCUGGCAAGGCGCAU
RNAcentral lists this ribosomal RNA (472 nucleotides) under uncultured bacterium. Its description in RNAcentral is "bacterial SSU rRNA". It matches the Rfam family "Bacterial small subunit ribosomal RNA", at positions 355 to 825 of the family's 1533-position model. The record is from RNAcentral.